UUUGGCUGCAGCUCAGGGGUAGAGCAAUUGUCUGGCAUGUGCAAGGCCCUGGGUUCAACUCCCAGCACAAAA
RNAcentral lists this transfer RNA (72 nucleotides) under Marmota monax (woodchuck). Its description in RNAcentral is "tRNA.Ala". The record is from RNAcentral. Lineage: Eukaryota; Metazoa; Chordata; Mammalia; Rodentia; Sciuridae.